GAACAUGGAUGCAUCACCAGUGCACUCUGCUGGACAUUAAGAUGUUGCUGCUACAAGCCAAAAUGCAAUGGUUGCAUAUGAGGCACCUGAGUACAGAGGUGAACCUCUGUCUAUGUUUGAAAGACAAGUGCUAAGCAGGCUGGACACACUCACAUAUGAGCAGAAGGCACACUAUGAAAUGACUUACGCCAGGUUUCAACACUUG
This 205-nucleotide long non-coding RNA is filed under the name Phaseolus vulgaris (common bean). RNAcentral describes it as "long non-coding RNA (PVUL_LNC002909)". Lineage: Eukaryota; Viridiplantae; Streptophyta; Magnoliopsida; Fabales; Fabaceae. The record is from RNAcentral.